GACGUGGGGGGCCAGCGUUGUUCGGAAUUACUGGGUGUAAAGGGUUCGUAGGCGGUGUGGCAAGUCGGGAGUGAAAUCUCUAGGCUCAACCUAGAGUCUGCUUCCGAAACUGCUGUGCUUGAGUGUGGGAGAGGCGCGUGGAAUUGCAGGUGUAGCGGUGAAAUGCGUAGAUAUCUGCAGGAACACCCGUGGCGAAAGCGGCGCGCUGGACCACUACUGACGCUGAGGAACGAAAGCUAGGGGAGCAAACAGG
RNAcentral lists this ribosomal RNA (253 nucleotides) under uncultured bacterium. RNAcentral's name for it is "partial 16S ribosomal RNA". It matches the Rfam family "Bacterial small subunit ribosomal RNA", at positions 524 to 776 of the family's 1533-position model. The record is from RNAcentral.